UUUGACCUCAAAUCAGGUAGGACUACCCGCUGAACUUAAGCAUAUCAAUAAGCGGAGGAAAAGAAACUAACAAGGAUUCCCCUAGUAACUGCGAGUGAAGAGGGAAAAGCUCAAAUUUGAAAUCUGGCAGUCUACGGCUGUCCGAGUUGUAAUCUAGAGAAGUGUUUUCCGCGCUGGACCGUGUAUAAGUCCUUUGGAACAAGGCGUCAUAGAGGGUGAGAAUCCCGUCUACGACACGGACUCCCAGUGCUCUGUGAUACACUCUCAACGAGUCGAGUUGUUUGGGAAUGCAGCUCAAAAUGGGUGGUAAAUUCCAUCUAAAGCUAAAUACAGGCGAAAGACCGAUAGCGAACAAGUACCGUGAGGGAAAGAUGAAAAGCACUUUGGAAAGAGAGUUAAACAGUACGUGAAAUUGUUGAAAGGGAAACGCUUGAAGUCAGUCGCGUCUUCAGAAACUCAGCCUGGCUUCUGCCUGGUGUACUUUUCUGUUGGACGGGCCAGCAUCAGUUUCGGCCGCCAGAAAAAGGUGAGAGGAAGGUGGCACCUUCUAGGUGUGUUAUAGCCUCUCAUCGUAUGUGGUGGCUGGGACUGAGGAACUGCAGCACGCCUCUAAUGGCCGGGGUUCGCCCACGUAACGUGCUUAGGAUGCUGGCGUAAUGGCUUUAAACGACCCGUCUUGAAACACGGACCAAGGAGUCUAACAUGCCUGCGAGUAUUUGGGUGGCAAACCCAUAUGCGGAAUGAAAGUGAACAGUUGGGACUUCUGUCAUGGAAGGCACCGACGCCCGGACCAGACCUAUUGUGACGGAUCCGAGGUAGAGCAUGUAUGUUGGGACCCGAAAGAUGGUGAACUAUGCCUGAGUAGGGUGAAGCCAGAGGAAACUCUGGUGGAGGCUCGUAGCGAUUCUGACGUGCAAAUCGAUCGUCGAACUUGGGUAUAGGGGCGAAAGACUMAUCGAAC
Molecule: ribosomal RNA, 961 nt
Filed under: Geastrum meridionale
Lineage: Eukaryota; Fungi; Basidiomycota; Agaricomycetes; Geastrales; Geastraceae
Description: LSU rRNA
Rfam family: Eukaryotic large subunit ribosomal RNA
Source: RNAcentral